Molecule: non-coding RNA, 70 nt
Organism: Podarcis lilfordi (Lilford's wall lizard)
Lineage: Eukaryota; Metazoa; Chordata; Lepidosauria; Squamata; Lacertidae
Source: the annotation of a GenBank genome assembly
GGAUAGCGCAGUCGGUUAGAGUGUGGUGCUGAUAACGCCAAGGUUGCAGGUUUGAUAUCUGUAUGCAAUA